AUGGAUGGAAACUCAAGAUCUUCAUCAAAACGAGCGAAGUUGUUGGUCAUGAGGAUGGGUCCUCAGAUUAAGAAGCUCUCCAUCAAGCAACAAAAUGAACGUCUGGAGAUUGAGAACAAAAUACUGGCGAUAGAGAACCACAAAAUGCGCGAGGAGUUGAGGACAUACCGAUGUGUUGCUUGCUUGAAGAUUGAAAAUGCCUGCCUGAAAGCUGAGCUUGCACGCUCGUUUCGUAACACUGCUGCAAUUCUAGAAGCUGAAGCACAAUUUGAAGUGGAGGUUGGGUUUUCCUCUACAGCACCCCAGAUUCCAGCGGAUACUAGCGCAACUGGACCACUCCAGCCAGGUGCAGCAGGGAGCCAAGAUGAAUCACGCGAGUAA
RNAcentral lists this ribosomal RNA (381 nucleotides) under Triticum aestivum (bread wheat). Its description in RNAcentral is "partial small subunit ribosomal RNA". Lineage: Eukaryota; Viridiplantae; Streptophyta; Magnoliopsida; Poales; Poaceae. The record is from RNAcentral.